Non-coding RNA from Bactrocera oleae (olive fruit fly), 595 nucleotides. Lineage: Eukaryota; Metazoa; Arthropoda; Insecta; Diptera; Tephritidae. The record is from RefSeq and is a predicted model, not a curated record.
UGUCCGUUUCCGCGACAGUCAGGUCUACAAUUCCCACAACACCCAAAAAUGCGGUACUGGAAUUUGGAUUUUGGGUGGCCAAGGGCCAUAAUUUUAGCGAUCUAAAUCUGUUUAAAUCGGCGUAGUUGUACUUCGGAAGUUAUCGAUUAAGUAUGAACGAAUGACACAAAAUGAAUUUAAAUGAAAGGUACUCACCAAAUGCUCUUCACAAUAAUGAUCCUUUUUCCAUGCUUCCUCAUCGCCACAAUCACAACAGCCACCGCCGCCUGAAGUUGACAUUUUAUAUUUGUGAUAACGAUGCGCCGAUUGUUUAAAACAAUUCACACACAACACGCAAGUGGGAUCCAUGCCACACUCGCGGCAACUAUAUGUGGGUUCGCCAUUCUUGAAUACUUUGCCACACACCGUGGCGGUAUUGCCCUCCUGUUGCAGUUUAUCGAGCACUAUUGUGGGAUUAUCACCCAACACGAACUCCAUCAGAACAUUUAUGAUGUGCUCCUUGGCGCCAGCCUCGUUGAAGUUGAUUUUUACUAAAUAUAUGUAUUUUUUUCCAAAGCAAUGAACAUACAGAAGAGCACAGUCGAAUAAAAAAAAA